AAAGUUGUAAGUUAUAUAAAGACUAUUUGUUUUCAAAACAAAAAGAGGUGUAUUUAAACCCUGACUUUG
This 69-nucleotide transfer RNA is filed under the name Pseudochauhanea macrorchis. RNAcentral describes it as "tRNA-Trp". The record is from RNAcentral. Lineage: Eukaryota; Metazoa; Platyhelminthes; Monogenea; Mazocraeidea; Chauhaneidae.